CCUACGGGUGGCAGCAGUGAGGAAUAUUGGUCAAUGGGCGCAAGCCUGAACCAGCCAAGUCGCGUGAGGGAUGACGGUCCUAUGGAUUGUAAACCUCUUUUGUCGGGGAGCAAGGCCCGCCACGUGUGGCGGGAAGGAGAGUACCCGAAGAAAAAGCAUCGGCUAACUCCGUGCCAGCAGCCGCGGUAAUACGUAGGGGGCAAGCGUUAUCCGGAUUUACUGGGUGUAAAGGGAGCGUAGACGGCGGGGCAAGUCUGGAGUGAAAGGCCGGGGCCCAACCCCGGGACCGCUCUGGAAACUGCCCGGCUGGAGUGCGGGAGAGGUAAGCGGAAUUCCUAGUGUAGCGGUGAAAUGCGUAGAUAUUAGGAGGAACACCAGCGGCGAAGGCGGCUUACUGGACCGUGACUGACGUUGAGGCUCGAAAGCGUGGGGAGCAAACAGGAUUAGAUACCCGAGUAGUC
This 461-nucleotide ribosomal RNA is filed under the name uncultured bacterium. RNAcentral describes it as "partial 16S ribosomal RNA". It matches the Rfam family "Bacterial small subunit ribosomal RNA", at positions 338 to 795 of the family's 1533-position model. The record is from RNAcentral.